CUUUUUACAGAAGUUCAAUGUUUGCUCUGAGAAGUUGAAUGAACAAAAUUUAUUAAAUGAUAAAGUUGUAUCCUUUAAAGAUAUGCUGGUAUUAUUGGCACAAUGGGCAAGCAUUGAAGUACAACUUGUUGAACUACAAAAUACAUAAAAUUCAGUUAUAAAAAUUUGAGUAACAAAGGUAUGCCAAUUAUUCUAUUGCCUGAAAGAGUAUCAUUGCUAUUCAAAGCAGUGAAGAAGUCAAGUACUCUGGAAGAAAAAAGACCAAAAAACACCUAAGUAAAUGGUCAAUUAUUUGGCACAAAUUGGAGUUAAAGACAAAGGAGAUUGUAUAUGUUAUUUAUUAAGAAUAGUUUUUUAAAAUGGCCUAGCUUUAAAAUUAAAUUAUGCAGGGAGAAGACAAAAAAUUGAAAUAGUAAAAAUGUUGCUUGCAUAUGUUGCUCUUGAAACUGUGAAGUCAAAUAAGAAUGGCUAGAGCAGACAUGUGAUAAAGAUAGUGGAAGAAAAAACAAUAAUCGUGGGCACGAAAUAUUAUAAGCUAAACACGAUUCAAUAACAAGUAGCUCAGCCAAUCUAUAAAUUUUAUAGUGAAUUUUUUUAUUUAAAUCUCAAUGUGUCAGUUUUUGGUUUAAGUUUGGUGUUUGCAAUAUGUAUAUUUAACCGAGAAAUU
This is a non-coding RNA of Hydra vulgaris (swiftwater hydra), 667 nucleotides long. The record is from RefSeq and is a predicted model, not a curated record. Lineage: Eukaryota; Metazoa; Cnidaria; Hydrozoa; Anthoathecata; Hydridae.